GUGUGUGUUCUACGUCGACCAGAAGCUCCCAAAGGAGCCAAACCCUAGCUCAAGCUUAUUUGCUCAAAUUGAAAGGGGAAUUCAACCCAAAUCUAAUGCAUGUACCCGAAUUCUUAGUCAUCUAGCCCUAAAGAUCACUUGAAUAGGAACCACACUAGCAUGGACCAAGCAUGGAAGGCUAACGGGUCAAGAUGAGGCAAGCAAGCGGGUAUGAACACAGAUGCACAAGGUGCGUAUGAUCAGACGUAUGGAUAUAUGAAUGCACGAAGUAGGAUUUAUCGUCUAUGAAAAGAAUGGGACAGGAAUGAGAACGUCAGACUCUUGUAGAAUUGAAGCCAAACCUUGAAGCCGAACUCGGAACAAAGGAAUCCGAGAGGAUAGUCGAAUGAAUCAAAGUUUAUGUUGUCGAAUGUUAUAUGAUUUAUAAUUUGUAUCAGAUUAUUGUUGUAUGACGUUGUCAAUGACUAAUGGUUAAGUUGUAUGUGGCGUCCACAGGUACUACACGGAUUUCUUCUACUGCUAAGGAAGUGAAGCGGACGUAGAUCGAGUCAAGAGCAAGGAUUGUACGGAUAGAUCGGUCACAUAGUUGAAGUAUAUAAUGUCUAGAAAUCUAAAUUUUAGUAUGAAUGUUGUGAAUUCUUUUAUAGAACGUUUAACAUUUUUAGAAUUUGGAACCUUCGU
This 681-nucleotide long non-coding RNA is filed under the name Helianthus annuus (common sunflower). RNAcentral describes it as "hypothetical non coding rna". Lineage: Eukaryota; Viridiplantae; Streptophyta; Magnoliopsida; Asterales; Asteraceae. The record is from RNAcentral.